RNAcentral lists this ribosomal RNA (445 nucleotides) under uncultured bacterium. RNAcentral's name for it is "bacterial SSU rRNA". It matches the Rfam family "Bacterial small subunit ribosomal RNA", at positions 28 to 505 of the family's 1533-position model. The record is from RNAcentral.
GGUGAACGCUAGCGGUGCGCCUAACACAUGCAAGUCGAGCGGUAGAUUUGGUGCUUGCACUAAAUUGAGAGCGGCGAACGGGUGAGUAACAUGUUGAAAUCUGCCCCCAAGUCAGGGAUAGCCAUUGGAAACGAUGAUUAAUACCGGAUGUGCUCUACGGAGUAAAGAUUUAUCGCUUGGGGAGGAGUCUACACGGUAUCAGUUAGUUGGUGAGGUAAAGGCUCACCAAGACAAUGACGCCUAGCUGGUCUGAGAGGAUGAUCAGCCACAAUGGAACUGAGACACGGUCCAUACUCCUACGGGAGGCAGCAGUGAGGAAUCUUCCACAAUGGGCGAAAGCCUGAUGGAGCGACACCGCGUGAAGGAUGACAGCCUAACGGUUGUAAACUUCUUUUCUGGAGGAGCAUAAUGAGAGUACUUCAGGAAUAAGGGACGGCUAAUUAUG